RNAcentral lists this non-coding RNA (25 nucleotides) under Mus musculus (house mouse). The record is from RNAcentral. Lineage: Eukaryota; Metazoa; Chordata; Mammalia; Rodentia; Muridae.
UUAAAGCGAAGUGACGGGCACUAAA